UCGAGGAUCUUCGGCAAUGGGCGCAAGCCUGACCGAGCGACGCCGCGUGCGGGAUGAAGGCCUUCGGGUUGUAAACCGCUUUAGACCGGGAGGAAAGCCGCAAGGCCUGACCGACCGGAGGAAUAAGCACGGGCUAAGUUCGUGCCAGCAGCCGCGGUAAGACGAACCGUGCAAACGUUGUUCGGAAUCACUGGGCUUAAAGGGCGCGUAGGCGGCCACGCCAGUCUGGGGUGAAAUCUUUCGGCUCAACCGGAAAAUUGCCUGGGAUACUGCGUGGCUCGAGGGAGGUAGGGGCGGUCGGAACUUCCAGUGGAGCGGUGAAAUGCGUUGAUAUUGGAAGGAACGCCGGUGGCGAAAGCGGACCGCUGGAUCUCAUCUGACGCUGAGGCGCGAAAGCUAGGGUAGCGAACGGGAUUAGAUACCCCCGUAGUCC
Molecule: ribosomal RNA, 433 nt
Filed under: uncultured bacterium
Lineage: Bacteria
Description: bacterial SSU rRNA
Rfam family: Bacterial small subunit ribosomal RNA
Source: RNAcentral